Molecule: unclassified non-coding RNA, 221 nt
Filed under: soil metagenome
Description: partial contains 5.8S ribosomal RNA, internal transcribed spacer 2, and large subunit ribosomal RNA
Source: RNAcentral
AACACUGUUAACCUGCGGUACCUGCGGAGGGAUCAUUACCAGAGUGCCUUCAGGCUCUCCAACCCACUGUGAACAUACCUACGUUCCCCCGGCGGGCUCAGCGCGCGGCGGCUCCGGCCGCCCGCGUCCGCCGAGGGCAUCUCAAACCCGAAUUUAUUCGUGUCUUCUGAGGGGCGAAAGCCCGUAAAACAAAAUGAAUCAAAACUUUCAACAACGGAUCU